This 384-nucleotide long non-coding RNA is filed under the name Homo sapiens (human). RNAcentral's name for it is "non-protein coding lnc-ZMAT5-1:2". The record is from RNAcentral. Lineage: Eukaryota; Metazoa; Chordata; Mammalia; Primates; Hominidae.
CCCUUGGCUCACCUUCCCCCAUCCACGCACCAGGAGCGGAGAGCCCGGAACUAAGAACUGUAGACCCAGAGAGGUGAGACUGGCCCCAAGCACCUGGGUCCUCAAGAAGAGUCACCGUUUCCGUGCCAGGAGGAUCCAAGGUGGGGAAACUGAGGCUGAGAGAGAAGGACGUUGACCAAGGUCACAGGGCAGGAGCAGCAGAGACAGAGUCUCGCUAUGUUGCUCAGACUGGUCUCCAACUUCUGGCUCAAGCGAUCCUCCUGCCUUGACCUCGCUAAGUGCUGGGAUUACCGAAUGGGAGCCACCAUGCCCAGUCUUUACUCAAAAUUCACCUUCUCCCUGGGUCUUCUCUGGAGACCCUAGCUUUAAAAAUAAACAAGUAAA